GCAUGGAGAUGACAUGAAAUAUGCUACGGCAUAGGUAGAGGAUGGACUUAUGGCGCAUUAGCUAGUUGGAGGGGUAACGGCCCACCAAGGCGACGAUGCGUAGCCGACCUGAGAGGGUGACCGGCCACACUGGGACUGAGACACGGCCCAGACUCCUACGGGAGGCAGCAGUAGGGAAUUUUCGGCAAUGGGGGAAACCCUGACCGAGCAACGCCGCGUGAAGGAAGAAGUAAUUCGUUAUGUAAACUUCUGUCAUAGAGGAAGAACGGUGCGUGUAGGGAAUGACAUGCAAGUGACGGUACUCUAUAAGAAAGCCACGGCUAACUACGUGCCAGCAGCCGCGGUAAUACGUAGGUGGCGAGCGUUAUCCGGAAUUAUUGGGCGUAAAGAGGGAGCAGGCGGCACUAAGGGUCUGUGGUGAAAGAUCGAAGCUUAACUUCGGUAAGCCAUGGAAACCGUAGAGCUAGAGUGUGUGAGAGGAUCGUGGAAUUCCAUGUGUAGCGGUGAAAUGCGUAGAUAUAUGGAGGAACACCAGUGGCGAAGGCGACGAUCUGGCGCAUAACUGACGCUCAGUCCCGAAAGCGUGGGGAGCAAAUAGGAUUAGAUACCCUAGUAGUCCACGCCGUAAACGAUGAGUACUAAGUGUUGGGAGUCAAAUCUCAGUGCUG
RNAcentral lists this ribosomal RNA (668 nucleotides) under uncultured bacterium. RNAcentral describes it as "bacterial SSU rRNA". It matches the Rfam family "Bacterial small subunit ribosomal RNA", at positions 188 to 848 of the family's 1533-position model. The record is from RNAcentral.